This 1209-nucleotide ribosomal RNA is filed under the name Triticum aestivum (bread wheat). RNAcentral's name for it is "partial small subunit ribosomal RNA". The record is from RNAcentral. Lineage: Eukaryota; Viridiplantae; Streptophyta; Magnoliopsida; Poales; Poaceae.
AUGGUUGGAGGGCGCUGCACGGACGCCUCCGCCAAGCCGAAGCAUCCGCGCCCUGCAGGUGGCGACGACGGAAGCAGCAGCCUUGAUGCGUGUGGUGGCGGCGGCAUCGGGCAUGCCGGCGACCGUCUGAGCGCGCUGCCGGACGACCUCCUCCACGCCAUCAUGUCGCGCCUCAAGGCCCUGCAGAUGGCGCGGACGUGCGUGCUGUCCACGAGGUGGAGGCACCUCUGGCGCGCCGUGCCGUGCCUCGACGUCGACGAGGCGGAGACCGGCGCCUACAACAAUUUCGACAACUUCACCGACAACCUUCUGCGCAGCCAUGACAUCGCGCUCCUGGAGGACUUCCGGCUGCACGCCCACAGGACUUCUGACCGAUGGGUCCGCCGCGCCGUAGGCCAAGGCGAGGCAUGGCCUUGCCGGCUCAAAAGGUUGCAUCUCUUCAGCCUGCUUAAUCUGAAGCUGACAGAUCUUGGGAGCCUCAUCAGCUUCCGCUGCCAUGCUCUGGAGGACCUGCAACUGAGAAACUGCAGCUUUUUGCUCACCAGCAAUGCUAAGAUUGUCUCCUCCUCACUCAAGAAAUUGGCUGUCGUUGAUGGCUACUACAUGGUGCAUGACGAUGAGAUUUUUGCGUUGAUUAUAGAGGCUCCUGCUCUUGUUUCUCUAUGCCUCGACGGGGAGCUUGAACACAUUGUCGAUAUGACUGAACCGCAUACCGUGCUGUCUCUUGUCGACGCGUCGAUUCAGCUUCCCAGGGUCGAGAAGCGCGUGAAUCACGAAUUGGGUAUUCUUGGUGCGCUGUCUAACGUGACAACCUUGCGCUUGUCGCAUUUUGCGGUCAUGUUGUUGUUCUAUGCGACUCGUGAGGAUCUUCCUGUAUUCAAGUUUGAGAACCUAAGAAGCUUGUUGCUAGAUGAGUGUCAUAUCAGCGACGACUUCCUCGGGCUGCAGCAAUACCUGCACAACUCGCGUAACCUGAAGAAACUCACUUUGCGCUGUUGCAAGGUCUUGGAUUAUAGGCAUAACAAGGAGAUGAGAAAACGCCUGCACAAAUCUUCUGAGGUCCUGGUGGAUUUCAACUGUGAGAACCUUAGGCUUACUGAAAUCAUAUACAGAGAUGGUGACACUUCUAUCCACCUACUGGUCAAGUUUUUGGUCGGCAUGCGGAGGAAUCUACCAAACAACAUGAUCGAAUUCACUAAAGUUGAUUAG